This 1433-nucleotide ribosomal RNA is filed under the name uncultured organism. RNAcentral describes it as "16S ribosomal RNA". It matches the Rfam family "Bacterial small subunit ribosomal RNA". The record is from RNAcentral.
GAUGAACGCUAGCUACAGGCUUAACACAUGCAAGUCGAGGGGCAGCAUUUUAGUUUGCUUGCAAACUGAAGAUGGCGACCGGCGCACGGGUGAGUAACACGUAUCCAACCUGCCGAUAACUCCGGGAUAGCCUUUCGAAAGAAAGAUUAAUACCGGAUAGCAUACGUAUAUCGCAUGAUAUUUUUAUUAAAGAAUUUCGGUUAUCGAUGGGGAUGCGUUCCAUUAGUUUGUUGGCGGGGUAACGGCCCACCAAGACUACGAUGGAUAGGGGUUCUGAGAGGAAGGUCCCCCACAUUGGAACUGAGACACGGUCCAAACUCCUACGGGAGGCAGCAGUGAGGAAUAUUGGUCAAUGGGCGCGAGCCUGAACCAGCCAAGUAGCGUGAAGGAUGAAGGCUCUAUGGGUCGUAAACUUCUUUUAUAUGGGAAUAAAGUUUUCCACGUGUGGAAUUUUGUAUGUACCAUAUGAAUAAGGAUCGGCUAACUCCGUGCCAGCAGCCGCGGUAAUACGGAGGAUCCGAGCGUUAUCCGGAUUUAUUGGGUUUAAAGGGAGCGUAGGUGGAUUGUUAAGUCAGUUGUGAAAGUUUGCGGCUCAACCGUAAAAUUGCAGUUGAAACUGGCAGUCUUGAGUACAGUAGAGGUGGGCGGAAUUCGUGGUGUAGCGGUGAAAUGCUUAGAUAUCACGAAGAACUCCGAUUGCGAAGGCAGCUCACUAGACUGUCACUGACACUGAUGCUCGAAAGUGUGGGUAUCAAACAGGAUUAGAUACCCUGGUAGUCCACACAGUAAACGAUGAAUACUCGCUGUUUGCGAUAUACAGUAAGCGGCCAAGCGAAAGCAUUAAGUAUUCCACCUGGGGAGUACGCCGGCAACGGUGAAACUCAAAGGAAUUGACGGGGGCCCGCACAAGCGGAGGAACAUGUGGUUUAAUUCGAUGAUACGCGAGGAACCUUACCCGGGCUUAAAUUGCAACAGAAUAUAUUGGAAACAGUAUAGCCGUAAGGCUGUUGUGAAGGUGCUGCAUGGUUGUCGUCAGCUCGUGCCGUGAGGUGUCGGCUUAAGUGCCAUAACGAGCGCAACCCUUAUCUUUAGUUACUAACAGGUCAUGCUGAGGACUCUAGAGAGACUGCCGUCGUAAGAUGUGAGGAGGGUGGGGAUGACGUCAAAUCAGCACGGCCCUUACGUCCGGGGCUAUACACGUGUUACAAUGGGGGGUACAGAAGGCGGCUACCUGGUGACAGGAUGCUAAUCCCAAAAACCUCUCUCAGUUCGGAUCGAAGUCUGCAACCCGACUUCGUGAAGCUGGAUUCGCUAGUAAUCGCGCAUCAGCCAUGGCGCGGUGAAUACGUUCCCGGGCCUUGUACACACCGCCCGUCAAGCCAUGAAAGCCGGGGGUACCUGAAGUACGUAACCGCAAGGAGCGUCCUAGGGUA